UAACACUAACAACUAACAAACUGAAAACCACUCGCCACACAGUACUCGCUACUACUACCACAAAAAAUCCCCCACCAUGGACGAAGACGAUACCAUUACCACCACCACCACCACCACCACCAACUUGGUAGUACCAAACCCGCAGGCCCAAACCCAGACACGCCGGCCACGUGGAUUCGCCGCAGUAGCGGCCGGAGGCGCGUCGGGAAACAAGGGAAAAAAGGAGAGGGAGAAGGAGAAAGAGAGAACGAAGCUCAGAGAGCGACACCGCCGCGCCAUUACAAGCCGCAUGCUUGCCGGUCUCAGGCAGUACGGUAAUUUCCCGCUCCCGGCGCGUGCCGACAUGAACGACGUGCUCGCCGCGCUGGCGCGUGAGGCCGGGUGGGUCGUCGAGGCCGACGGGACCACGUAUCGACAAUCGCCGCCCACGCCCGCACCCGCACCCGCUCCUUCCCAAUCCCAAUUGCCGCAAUUGGCAGCAGCAUUUCCAGUUGAGAGUCCACUAUCUGCUUCUGCUGCGGCUAUGAGUUUGACACAUUGUUCUGUCAAACAAACAACAAUAGAGUGUUCACCGUCGCUUCUUGGAAUUGAUGACAGCUUGUCACCAGCUUCUCUUGAUUCAUCUGUUGUAAUAGGAGAGAGAGACAGAGAGAUGGAUACCAAAUAUACCACUGUAGCCUCAGCCUCUGUAAGCCCCAUCAAUUCGACUUCGGUCCAAUGCGGUAUAGAGCUUAUUCAAGAUAUUCAUUCUGGGGAGCAUGGGAAUGGUUUUACAAGCACUCCAUAUGUCCCUGUUUAUGUAAAGCUUCCGACUGGUGUUAUCAACAAUUUCUGCCAGUUGAUUGAUCCUGAAGGUGUUAGACAGGAGCUUAGUCAUUUGAAGUCUUUAAAUGUAGAUGGUGUUGUUAUUGAUUGUUGGUGGGGUAUUGUUGAAGGCUGGAGUCCACAGAAAUACGUAUGGUCUGGCUAUAGGGAACUCUUUAACAUCAUCCAGGAAUUCAAGCUGAAUUUGCAGGUUGUGAUGGCAUUUCAUGAGUAUGGAGGAAAUGACUCUGGUGACACGUUGAUUGCCCUUCCACAAUGGGUUAUGGAGAUUGGAAAAGACAACCCGGAUAUAUUCUUCACAGAUCGUGAAGGUAGGAGGAAUCCUGAAUGUCUGUCAUGGGGCAUUGAUAAAGAACGAGUUCUAAAAGGAAGAACUGCCAUUGAGGUCUAUUUUGAUUUCAUGAGAAGCUUCCGGACAGAAUUUGAUGACUUGUUUGCAGAGGGUCAAAUUUCUUCUGUAGAGAUCGGACUCGGGGCAUCUGGGGAGCUGAAGUAUCCUUCUUCUUCUGAAAGGAUGGGAUGGAGGUAUCCUGGUAUUGGUGAAUUUCAGUGCUAUGAUAAGUAUCUACAACAAAGUCUGUGCAGAGCAUCUAAAUUGCGGGGGCACUCAUUCUGGGGUAAGUGUCCUGAUAAUGCCGGUCAAUACAAUUCUAGGCCACAUGAAACUGGGUUCUUUUGCGAACGAGGUGAUUAUGAUAGCUACUAUGGCCGCUUUUUCCUCCAUUGGUAUGCACAGACAUUAAUAGACCAUGCAGAUAACGUUUUGUCUCUUGCAAGCCUUGCAUUUGAUGAAAUAAAAAUAAUUAUUAAGGUUCCUGCAAUUCAUUGGUGGUACAAGACUGCUAGCCAUGCCGCGGAAUUAACAGCAGGAUUCUAUAACCCUACAAACCAAAAUGGAUACUCUCCAGUUUUUGAGGUCCUGAGAAAACACUCGGUGACAUUGAAGUUUGUUUGCUUGAGAUUGCAAGUUUCUGGUCUGGAAAAUGAUGAAGCAUUGGCUGACCCAGAAGGUUUAAGUCGGCAGGUUUUGAACUCGGCCUGGGAUCGAGGAUUGACUGUAGCUGGUGAGAAUGCUCUUUCAUGUUAUGAGAGAGAAGGAUACAUGAGAAUUGUUGAGAUGGCCAAGCCAAACAGUGAUCCUGAUCGCCGCCAUUUUUCAUUCUUUGUUUACCAACAGCCAACCCCUUUGGUUCAAGGAACAAUUUGCUUCUCAGAGUUGGAUUACUUCAUUAAAUCCAUGCAUGGACAUCCUUGAAGAUUUGAAAAUUUCCCCUUAAAGAGUUAAUGCCAGCUGAGUAUUAGAGAGGGGGGGGAGUAGAUUUCUUUACAUGAAGCAAUUUCUUUUAACCUAUGACACCAAAGUAUGUCAUGGUGAGAUUGCAGGUGAUCUGGUACCAUGAUAAUGUGUGGAUCCUUUUUUUCCUUAUGAAUGAUACUAUUAAAACAAGCUGGUUUCAACUUGAGGCCAUUUAAGGGGACGAGUGGCAUGUAGGCUACUGAUUUUAUGGUUGCUUAAACAACCCGUGCAGUCUAAUUACCUGGUGUCUUAGAUUAUUCUAUAUUAUAAUUAGAAUUAUGUCUCCGCUUGCUAAGGCAAGGGCUGAGGUAAAUGGGUGUUUAAAAAGUCAGACGUCAAAAGAAUUUUAUGUUCACUAAUUCCAGACAUUGUACAUAAAUUAUGUUAAUUACUUGGGAAGUUUCAUGUAUUCAUAUGAGCAACCACAGUCAAGAAGGCAUUGUUGAUAAGGCCUAGUUGAUGAUGUAUUAGCACUUGAAGUGGCAAAAGUUAGUGAUUUAAUAGUAAAUUCUUGCAACUGCAAUCUUCAAUUGACAAGGCUCACUGAAUACUUGGAAGCAAGCUGGGUCUAGCCAUCUAGAGACGGGUUGUCUGCUUAACCCAAAUAGAAUUACGCCAUCAGUGUAAAAGGAGUUCCAUGGACAACGAAGAUUUGAGUACAAAAAACAGUUCUGCUGCAAGUGAUUGCUGGGUAAUCUCCCUAGGAAUAAAACCAAAAAAGCCUAGGUCUUGGCAGUGAUCCUUGUUGGUUGAGUUUGCCAGUGAAUGGCCUUGGGCCUCUCAUUAUGGUGUUGGGUCGAAUUGGGUGCUUUAGUUCCAAGCAGUGGCAACAGGACCAACUAAUGGUUGAUUCUUGUGACUAGACUUGAUGCUACACCUGCGAUGGCCUCGUUCACUUCCUCAUUGUGUCUUCCUCACAUGAUAUCAUUGUAAGCAUUUUUUCCUCCUCUGUGUGAUGGAUUUUGGACGGUGGUGGUGGGAUGGGGAAAUGAAGCGGGCAGGCGUCUUUAUAGACGAAACUUGGCUCUAAUACCACCAUCGGUCCCUUGUGUAUGGCAGUCUUGUUUAAAGUAGUGAUCAUUUAUGGCCAGACUUGUGUCUUUGCGAGGCCAAUGAUGGUGUCAGAGCUGAAUGCAAAUGAAAGUACUAUACUACUAUUAUUUAUAGGCAAACAUGCACUCCUUGAGAAUAGACAUAUUCGUAAUAGACGUAUUCAUUUAAGGAACAAGUUUAUCUAAUUCAAGAGUUUCAACCUUACCCAAAAA
Quercus robur (English oak) is the source of this 3387-nucleotide RNA transcript. It is a transcript of the gene named beta-amylase 8, with no coding region annotated. NCBI's taxonomy places the organism in Eukaryota, Viridiplantae, Streptophyta, Magnoliopsida, Fagales, Fagaceae. The record is from RefSeq and is a predicted model, not a curated record. The transcript is spliced from 11 exons.